This 253-nucleotide ribosomal RNA is filed under the name uncultured bacterium. Its description in RNAcentral is "partial 16S ribosomal RNA". It matches the Rfam family "Bacterial small subunit ribosomal RNA", at positions 524 to 776 of the family's 1533-position model. The record is from RNAcentral.
UACGGAGGGUCCAAGCGUUAUCCGGAAUCAUUGGGUUUAAAGGGUCCGUAGGCGGUUUUGUAAGUCAGUGGUGAAAGCCCAUCGCUCAACGGUGGAACGGCCAUUGAUACUGCAAGACUUGAGUUAUUAGGAAGUAACUAGAAUAUGUAGUGUAGCGGUGAAAUGCUUAGAUAUUACAUGGAAUACCAAUUGCGAAGGCAGGUUACUACUAAUUGAUUGACGCUGAUGGACGAAAGCGUGGGGAGCGAACAGG